This 77-nucleotide transfer RNA is filed under the name Actinobacteria bacterium IMCC26256. Its description in RNAcentral is "tRNA-Lys". It matches the Rfam family "tRNA". Rfam says of the family: Transfer RNA (tRNA) molecules are approximately 80 nucleotides in length. Their secondary structure includes four short double-helical elements and three loops (D, anti-codon, and T loops). RNAcentral also lists the same sequence under 5 other names. The record is from RNAcentral. Lineage: Bacteria; Bacillati; Actinomycetota; Actinomycetes.
GCGCCGCUAGCUCAACUGGUUAGAGCAACAGACUCUUAAUCUGUAGGUUCUGGGUUCGAGUCCCAGGCGGCGUACCA